CUAGGGGGGCUGCAGUGGGGAAUAUUGGACAAUGGGCGAAAGCCUGAUCCAGCCAUGCCGCGUGUGUGAAGAAGGCCUUCGGGUUGUAAAGCACUUUCAGUGGGGAAGAAAGCCUUGGGGCUAAUACCCUCGAGGAAGGACAUCACCCACAGAAGAAGCACCGGCUAACUCCGUGCCAGCAGCCGCGGUAAUACGGAGGGUGCGAGCGUUAAUCGGAAUUACUGGGCGUAAAGCGCGCGUAGGCGGUCUGAUAAGCCGGUUGUGAAAGCCCCGGGCUCAACCUGGGAACGGCAUCCGGAACUGUCAGGCUAGAGUGCAGGAGAGGAAGGUAGAAUUCCCGGUGUAGCGGUGAAAUGCGUAGAGAUCGGGAGGAAUACCAGUGGCGAAGGCGGCCUUCUGGACUGACACUGACGCUGAGGUGCGAAAGCGUGGGUAGCAAACAGGAUUAGAUACCCUAGUAGUC
This 463-nucleotide ribosomal RNA is filed under the name Vreelandella stevensii. RNAcentral's name for it is "partial 16S ribosomal RNA". It matches the Rfam family "Bacterial small subunit ribosomal RNA", at positions 339 to 795 of the family's 1533-position model. Lineage: Bacteria; Pseudomonadati; Pseudomonadota; Gammaproteobacteria; Oceanospirillales; Halomonadaceae. The record is from RNAcentral.